AUAAGUGUUCAAGCAGGCAGACCAUUUCUUCUGCCACCGAAUACAUUAGCAUGGGAUAAUGGAAUAGGACCCUGUCCUCCUAUUUUACGUGUUGGUUUUCGAGGACCGGGUAAUGAUUAAUAGGGAUAGUUGGGGGCAUUAAUAUUUAAUUGUCAGAGGUGAAAUUCUUGGAUUUAUGAAAGAUUGACUUCUGCGAAAGCAUCUGCCAAGGAUGUUUUCAUUAAUCAAGAACGAAAGUUAGGGGAUCGAAGACGAUCAGAUACCGUCGUAGUCUUAACCAUAAACGAUGCCGACCAGCGAUUAGGAGACGUUGAAUACAAAACACCACCGUUGGGUCGUGGCGGGCCGUGCCCCGCGGUCCGUCGUGCGCGGCGACGCGUGCGGCGGCCACGGGGACCGCGGUCCGUAUCAGCCACCCGACGGCCCGGUGAAUGACUCCCCUAGCAGCUUGUGAGAA
RNAcentral lists this ribosomal RNA (457 nucleotides) under Acanthamoeba jacobsi. RNAcentral describes it as "bacterial SSU rRNA". It matches the Rfam family "Eukaryotic small subunit ribosomal RNA", at positions 767 to 1096 of the family's 1831-position model. Lineage: Eukaryota; Discosea; Longamoebia; Acanthamoebidae. The record is from RNAcentral.